This 300-nucleotide ribosomal RNA is filed under the name Triticum aestivum (bread wheat). RNAcentral describes it as "partial small subunit ribosomal RNA". Lineage: Eukaryota; Viridiplantae; Streptophyta; Magnoliopsida; Poales; Poaceae. The record is from RNAcentral.
AUGGCGAAUGACUCCUUGACAAGGGCGCAUAUAGUUGGAGAUGUUUUGGACCCAUUUGCUAGCUCAGUGCCUCUAACUGUGAUGUAUGAUGGGAGGCCUGUGUUUAAUGGCAUGGAGUUGUGGUCACCGUCAGUCUCUCUAAAACCUAGAGUUGAUAUCGGCGGUGAUGAUUUUCGUGUUGCCUAUACCCUAGUUAUGGUGGAUCCUGAUGCGCCUAAUCCCAGCAACCCGACACUGAGGGAGUACCUGCAUUGGAUGGUGACAGAUGUCCCAUCCUCAACAAACAAUAGCUUUGGCUAA